GCCCCUGUAGUGUAGUCCGGUUAGCAUUCAAGACUGUCAAUCCAAGCGAUUGAUGCUUGAAGCAGACCUCUUGAGAUCCGGGUUCAAAUCCCGGCGGGGGCG
Molecule: non-coding RNA, 102 nt
Organism: Candidatus Thorarchaeota archaeon AB_25
Lineage: Archaea; Promethearchaeati; Candidatus Thorarchaeota
Source: Rfam